This is a long non-coding RNA of Callorhinchus milii (elephant shark), 1823 nucleotides long. RefSeq lists it as uncharacterized. The transcript is spliced from 3 exons. The record is from RefSeq and is a predicted model, not a curated record. NCBI's taxonomy places the organism in Eukaryota, Metazoa, Chordata, Chondrichthyes, Chimaeriformes, Callorhinchidae.
AUCUGGAUUGAAGCUCACAUGACGUGACAUCCUGCGUGAAGAUCUUUUCAGCUGUGAACACGGGAUAAAUAGCGGAACUGGAACAAAAUGAGACUGCUUCCAACAAACCAAAACGUCCACGUAGAAAAGGGAAUAGAAACUGCAGCGACAAUAAGAUAAAGAACCUCGUGCAACAAACAGAACUGCAGACCACAAAUGUUUCAGACUGUGGGCAGGGAAGGAAGAUUGAACAGUGAGAGAACACGGCAGGCUGACAGAAAGAUACAGCAAGUGUUCCUUGUUAUUGUGGUUAUUAACCACCGAUGGCUGUUGUUUUUCCAAAGCCUCGAUGCUCAGCUGUACACCAAACUCUGGCCUCAAUAAUCACAUGUUGUUUAAAAGGCACCACAGCGGCCUUCUGCUUGUCAUUAAUUAUCAGAUGGUCUUCAACCACUGCUUGUAAAAACAGUUCCUCAAAAUAGCUACGUUGAGAAUGGGCAAACUUGUCAAAACUGGUGAGGAAAAUUGCUGCAUGUUCCCUUCACACCAAUCUUGCCCAGAGAGCUACAUGGGGAGGUGACGUUGGGUCAGAGAGACUGCUCAUUUUUUUAGGUUCACCUGCCAGCCCGUCCCUCAAAGAAACUCCUCUUCUGCCGUGCAUGUUGUCAUACAAUUCCAUCAGCCAUUUCUACAGUAACCUCCAAGUCAGGCCUUUGAGAAUAACUUAACUGUUAACUGAUAAGAGCUGUUGAAUUACGCCAAUGGCAUUUGGAUGUUCAAUGAUUUUGCCAAUUGACGAGUAUGUUUCUUUAUGAAAGAAACGUAAAAACAUGUGUAUUCCUCAUUGCCAUCUCCAGCUGAUGGUCUUCCCCCUGCAGCUGGGAAGAUGCCAAUUACCAUGUCUGGAUCACAAAUGUUACAUGGUUUCUGUCAAUGUUUCUGGGGUUUAAAACCCAAAUCCAGUCUGACAGACCUUUAAACACUACUGAGUUGUGCAUCUCAAUGCAACUGAAACCACAUUUUCCAGUUCCCAGGACUUUUACAAUGAAAUCUAUAUUAAAAGAAUGUUAUGUUCCAUACAGUCUACACACAGUCAUGUCCAAUGUGGGGAAAGAAUGAAUCAUUUACAAGCAAUGUGUAUUGUGCAAUAAUACAAAAAAUUAAGACAAUUUCAUGCCUAAUCUACUCUAAUCACAUAGUUCAGUAAUGUGCCUACAGACAAGUUGUCAGCACACGUAAGGUACAUUUCUGAAGUGCAGCCUCUGAGCGAUAAAGCGGCAGAUUUUCUUCUUUAAUAAAAAGUACAAAUGACGAGCAAGAACAGAACUUGGGAUGUGAAGCAGAGAGUGGGUGAAUGACCUCUCUACAUGCACACACCCAGCAAAAGCAUGUGGACAAACACCAAACAGAUAAGCAGACAGCUCCUGACAUGCCUGCUCCCAAACAGGACGGAGUUGCUGAAACAAAUAAGCUAUUUAUGUUUAUUAUUCACCGAGGUUCUUCCCCAUUAGGGCAGUAAAACUGGUUUCUUCAAGAACGUAGUUUUCUGUAAACAUUUCCCGUUUAUUUUUCUGGGAGGAAGAAACAAGUAAAAAUUGCAAAUUUUUGCACCAGAAUUCUAACACAAUCAUAUGUGCUGAAGUUCGUGUGUGUGUGUGUGUGUGUGUGCAUGUACCAGGAAUUUUCACAAUAGUAUAGUUAUGAGUCACACAACAUGACAGGGAUAGUAUCUCACUACCUGCAUUUCCAAAGAACACAUCAUUGCAUCGCACAGCAGGAAGCUGCCACAGCAGUCACAAAACAUGCAGACAUCAGUGCAUGGAGCAGUGACCACAGACUAUGGG